This 444-nucleotide ribosomal RNA is filed under the name uncultured Campylobacterota bacterium. RNAcentral's name for it is "bacterial SSU rRNA". It matches the Rfam family "Bacterial small subunit ribosomal RNA", at positions 335 to 796 of the family's 1533-position model. The record is from RNAcentral. Lineage: Bacteria; Pseudomonadati; Campylobacterota.
ACUCCUACGGGAGGCAGCAGUGGGGAAUAUUGCACAAUGGAGGAAACUCUGAUGCAGCAACACCGCGUGGAGGAUGACACAUCUAGGUGCGUAAACUCCUUUUAUAUACCAAGAUAAUGACGGUAGUAUAUGAAUAAGCACCGGCUAACUCCGUGCCAGCAGCCGCGGUAAUACGGGGGGUGCAAGCGUUACUCGGAAUCACUGGGCGUAAAGGGUACGUAGGCGGAUAAAUAAGUUGGAAGUGAAAUCCUAUGGCUCAACCAUAGAACUGCUUCCAAAACUAUUUAUCUAGAAUAUGGGAGAGGUAGAUGGAAUUUCUGGUGUAGGGGUAAAAUCCGUAGAUAUCAGAAGGAAUACCGAUUGCGAAGGCGAUCUACUGGAACAUUAUUGACGCUGAGGUACGAAAGCAUGGGGAGCAAACAGGAUUAGAAACCCGUGUAGUCC